Pezoporus occidentalis (night parrot) is the source of this 391-nucleotide long non-coding RNA. RefSeq lists it as uncharacterized. NCBI's taxonomy places the organism in Eukaryota, Metazoa, Chordata, Aves, Psittaciformes, Psittacidae. The transcript has 3 exons. The record is from RefSeq and is a predicted model, not a curated record.
GGAAUGGAGCUUUAAAUCAGGAGCUACCUGUGAUAACUGACAGCCUUCACUCAAACAGGGAUUCAGGACAUACAAGCAAGCAGUGGAGAAAAGGAGAGGGAAUUGCAGGAAAUGGAUGUGUGCAAACUCGCCCUAAUUUAUGUAAAUACGGAGGCGGAAGAGUUUCACUUCAUUGUUACAAAUUAAAAGUUCCCUGACAUUUCCAAUUAGCUGGAGAGAAAAGCAACACAACUAUAAAUACAUCACAAAGCUGCAAAGUCUGCUCUGGCAUGAACAGCACGCUCCCAUCGCGACACCCAACGGGCCAGAUAAAAGUUUUGUGGUGUUAUUUAAGCAAAAGCCCAUUUUGGCAUCAGAGCUGGCAGAAAUACUGAGAGCUUCAUUUCUCCCC